AGCAGCCGCGGUAAUUCCAGCUCCAAUAGCGUAUAUUAAAGUUGUUGCAGUUAAAAAGCUCGUAGUUGAAUUUCGGGGUCAGUAGGUCGGUCGUGCCACUGGUAUGAACUGGUUUUACUGAUUCCUCCCUCUUGAAGAACUGUAAUGCCAUUAAUUUGGUGUUGCAGGGAAUCAGGACUGUUACCUUGAAAAAAUUAGAGUGUUUAAAGCAGGCUUUAGCUUGAAUACAUUAGCAUGGAAUAAUGAAAUAGGACGUUUGAUCCUAUUUUGUUGGUUUCUAGGAUUGACGUAAUGAUUAAUAGGGAUAGUUGGGGGCACUAGUAUUCAAUUGUCAGAGGUGAAAUUCUUGGAUUUAUUGAAGACUAACUACUGCGAAAGCAUUUGCCAAGGAUGUUUUCAUUAAUCAAGAACGAAAGUUAGGGGAUCGAAGACGAUCAGAUACCGUCGUAGUCUUAACCAUAAACUAUGCCGACUAGGGAUCGGAUGAUGUUAAUUUUUUAAUGACUCA
RNAcentral lists this ribosomal RNA (508 nucleotides) under Glomus sp. Glo3. RNAcentral's name for it is "SSU rRNA". It matches the Rfam family "Eukaryotic small subunit ribosomal RNA", at positions 569 to 1078 of the family's 1831-position model. The record is from RNAcentral. Lineage: Eukaryota; Fungi; Glomeromycota; Glomeromycetes; Glomerales; Glomeraceae.